AUUCGGCGUAAAGAGUGGUUAUGCACCCCUUCCAAACUAAAGCCGAACACUCUCAGUACUGUUAUACGUUUUUGAGAACAAGAAGCCCAAUUACGAAAGUGGCUUUAUCAAUGUUGAACCCACGAAAGCUGUGAAACAAACUGGGAUUAGAUACCCCACUAUGCACAGCCAUAAACUUUGGCAACACUAUACACUUUCUGCCCGCCAGGUACUACAAGCAUGAGCUUAAAACCCAAAGGACUUGGCGGUGCUUAAGAUCCCCCUAGAGGAGCCUGUUCUAGAACCGAUAACCCCCGUUAAACCUCACCCUCACUUGUCACCACCGCCUAUAUACCUCCGUCGUCAGCUUACCCUGUGAAGGUCUAAUAGUAAGCAAAAUUAGUA
RNAcentral lists this ribosomal RNA (384 nucleotides) under Stathmonotus sp. 'Stepien et al.'. RNAcentral describes it as "partial 12S ribosomal RNA". It matches the Rfam family "Bacterial small subunit ribosomal RNA", at positions 553 to 1107 of the family's 1533-position model. Lineage: Eukaryota; Metazoa; Chordata; Actinopteri; Blenniiformes; Labrisomidae. The record is from RNAcentral.